AGAGUUUGAUUCCAUGGCUCAGAACGAACGCUGGCGGCAGGCCUAACACAUGCAAGUCGAGCGAAGCCUUCGGGCUUAGCGGCGGACGGGUGAGUAACGCGUGGGAACGUGCCCUUUGGUACGGAAUAGCCCCGGGAAACUGGGAGUAAUACCGUAUGUGGUCGAGAGACGAAAGAUUUAUCGCCAAAGGAUCGGCCCGCGUUGGAUUAGGUAGUUGGUGGGGUAAUGGCCUACCAAGCCGACGAUCCAUAGCUGGUUUGAGAGGAUGAUCAGCCACACUGGGACUGAGACACGGCCCAGACUCCUACGGGAGGCAGCAGUGGGGAAUCUUAGACAAUGGGGGAAACCCUGAUCUAGCCAUGCCGCGUGAUCGAUGAAGGCCUUAGGGUUGUAAAGAUCUUUCAGUGGGGAAGAUAAUGACU
This 422-nucleotide ribosomal RNA is filed under the name Rhodobacter sp. B2-240. RNAcentral's name for it is "bacterial SSU rRNA". It matches the Rfam family "Bacterial small subunit ribosomal RNA", at positions 8 to 456 of the family's 1533-position model. The record is from RNAcentral. Lineage: Bacteria; Pseudomonadati; Pseudomonadota; Alphaproteobacteria; Rhodobacterales.